GGGCGGAUAGCUCAGUUGGUGGAGCACAGCCCUUACAAGGCUGGGGCCGCAGGUUCGAGACCUGCUCCGCCUACCA
This 76-nucleotide transfer RNA is filed under the name Candidatus Magnetominusculus dajiuhuensis. RNAcentral's name for it is "tRNA-Val". It matches the Rfam family "tRNA". From Rfam's summary of the family: Transfer RNA (tRNA) molecules are approximately 80 nucleotides in length. The record is from RNAcentral. Lineage: Bacteria; Pseudomonadati; Nitrospirota; Nitrospiria; Nitrospirales; Nitrospiraceae.